GGGAUUACGGAGCUCCAUCUAUACAAGGAUUCUAGCACAGUCUUACAAGACUCGCAGUGAAAGCUAAUAAUUUUGAACUGAAACUAGCAUGGCUCUAGAUGAUUUAACAAACCCAGUUUGGGGGUACACCAACGGAAGAUCCACAUUACCACCUCUAGUGCUUUCUUACCCUAUGUGACACAUUCAAGAUGAAUGGAGCAUCUGAUCAAGCUAUAAGACUCAGAGCAUUUCCAUUCUCCCUUCGAGACAGAGCG
This 254-nucleotide unclassified non-coding RNA is filed under the name Hevea brasiliensis (rubber tree). Lineage: Eukaryota; Viridiplantae; Streptophyta; Magnoliopsida; Malpighiales; Euphorbiaceae. The record is from RNAcentral.